GUAAAAMAUUUAUUUACACCAACAAGCGCCAGGGAAUUACGAGCAUAUGCUUAAAAUCCAAAGGAUUUGACGGUGUCCCACCCACCUAGAGGAGCCUGUUCUAUAAUCGAUAAUCCUCGAUAUACCCAACCAUUUCUUGCUUUUCAGCCUGUAUACCUCCGUCGCAAGCUUACCAUUUGAAUGUAAAAGAGUAGGUUUAAGGAUUCCCCAUCAAUACGUCAGGUCAAGGUGCAGCCAAUGUAAUGGAAAGUAAUGGGCUACAAUUUCUAUAAUAGAACAAACGAAACACUGCAUGAAAAACAGUCAUGAAGGCGGAUUUAGUAGUAAAAGGAGAAUAGAGAGCUCCUUUUAACAAGGCCCUGGGACGUGUACAAACCGCCCGUCACCCUCUUCAGCGGCAUAAAAUUUAAGUUUUUAACCCAACAAAAGAAAUCAGAAGAGGCAAGUCGUAACAUGGUAAGUGUACUGGAAAGUGCACUUGGUUAAC
Molecule: ribosomal RNA, 487 nt
Filed under: Mantella sp. CMR-1999
Lineage: Eukaryota; Metazoa; Chordata; Amphibia; Anura; Mantellidae
Description: partial 12S ribosomal RNA
Rfam family: Bacterial small subunit ribosomal RNA
Source: RNAcentral